GAUGGCGGCAGAUCCAUCCCACGAUUGAAAUCAGUUCUAUGAAUGCACUGAAGUUUUCAAUUUGACAACAUGGUCGAUGCACUUCAUUAUAUCUGAAAUGAGUUAGGAACUUGCUAUCAACCCCUUGUUUAUGGCUGUAAAUUUGCAAAAGAUAAUAAUUUUGGCUAGUAAGUACAAGUAUUUGGUGAUGUAUAUCCUUGCUCAUUUUCUUAAUCUGCAAAUAAACCAAGUAGAUUUGUUUGAUGUAUAUACUUGAUAACUUUCUUAAGCUGCAAAAGGAGCCAAACUAGCAGUGUCGUUUUAUGGCUGUAAAUGCCAUUUUUGGUUUUGCUUCCAUGAUGAGCAGGUCUAGUCAGUAGAAUUUGUCUGUGUAUAUCUCUAACCACUUUAGUUGUUUGUGAAUCUAUCUAUAGUUUGGUGGAUGGGAAUUAUCUGCUUGGCCGUGAAUGCCAAGUUGUUCAUUCAAAUAGCAUUCUGAACUCAGAACAACUCUGAACUAGUUGUGCACUGCCUUGAUUUUUAGUUUCUUGUACAGAGGUUUUUGUCAGUACGUGAUAUGUAGAGCUAUUCCUGAAGUAAGAUGUUUAAAGAUUAAUUGUACAUAACACAAAUCUUUGAUAGUUCUGUUUUGUUGCGUUUCUUUGCUUCAGAAACUGUGGAUUUCUUGCUCUGUCCUGCAAAAGGACCACAUUUAUUUUCUCCUUCAAUCUAUAGCAUCAGUUGCUUGCUUGCUUGGCCAAUGAAAUGAGGUUGCUGGGCUCAAACAUAUGCGACUUUGAUGGAGUGGCCAAAAUGCUUUGGUGGCUGUUGGGUAUUGUCAUGUGCUUUUGAACAGGUUUUAAUUAUGUUGUAUGAGAUAUGCUAAAAAAUUAUGUUGUAUGAGAUGUGAAGGUUGUAAUGUGUUUUUAGAAUAUUUAUGUGCUGAUC
This is a long non-coding RNA of Oryza sativa Japonica Group (Japanese rice), 927 nucleotides long. RefSeq lists it as uncharacterized. The record is from RefSeq and is a predicted model, not a curated record. NCBI's taxonomy places the organism in Eukaryota, Viridiplantae, Streptophyta, Magnoliopsida, Poales, Poaceae.